This 364-nucleotide ribosomal RNA is filed under the name uncultured eukaryote. Its description in RNAcentral is "partial 18S ribosomal RNA". It matches the Rfam family "Eukaryotic small subunit ribosomal RNA", at positions 592 to 976 of the family's 1831-position model. The record is from RNAcentral.
CAAAAGCGUAUAUUAAAGUUGUUGCAGUUAAAAAGCUCGUAGUUGAACCUUGGGCUUGGCUGGCCGGUCCAUCUUUUUUGAUGCGUACUGGACCCAGCCGAGCCUUUCCUUCUGGCUAGCCUUUUGGCGAACCAGGACUUUUACUUUGAAAAAAUUAGAGUGUUCAAAGCAGGCCUUUGCUCGAAUAUAUUAGCAUGGAAUAAUAGAAUAGGACGUUAUGGUUCUAUUUUGUUGGUUUCUAGGACCAUCGUAAUGAUUAAUAGGGACGGUCGGGGGUAUCAGUAUUCAGUUGUCAGAGGUGAAAUUCUUGGAUUUACUGAAGACUAACUACCGCGAAAGCAUUUACCAAGGACGUUUUCAUUAA